AGAACGAACGCUGGCGGCAGGCCUCAAACAUGCAAGUCUAGGGGGUGUAGCAAUACAUCACCGGCGGACGGGUGCGUAACACGUGGGAAUAUACCUUUUGGUUCGGAACAACGCAGGGAAACUUGCGCUAAUACCGAAUGUGCCCUUACGGGGAAAGAUUUAUCGCCAAAGGAUUAGCCCGCGUAGGAUUAGCUAGUUGGUGAGGUAAUGGCUCACCAAGGCUCCGAUCCUUAGCUGUUCUGAGAGGAAGAUCAGCCACACUGGGACUGAGACACGGCCCAGACUCCUACGGGAGGCAGCAGUUGGGAAUCUUGGACAAUGGGGGAAACCCUGAUCCAGCCAUGCCGCGUGAGUGAUGAAGGCCUUCGGGUUGUAAAACUCGUUUCGGACGGGACGAUAAUGACGGUACCCGUAGAAGAAGCUCCGGCUAACUUCGUGCCAGCAGCCGC
Molecule: ribosomal RNA, 449 nt
Filed under: uncultured bacterium
Lineage: Bacteria
Description: SSU rRNA
Rfam family: Bacterial small subunit ribosomal RNA
Source: RNAcentral